GAAGGGUGGAGCGGUACGUCCGUCGCUCCGGCAAUGCUUAGAUGUAUCCCUCCGGCUUGUCGCUAUCCGAUGAUGAAGAUGUCUAGCCUCGUCGGCUCAGACAGAUGGGUGGCCUUCGCCUCGUCGUUGCCCGGCCUGGUGGUGUCCACCUCGUCGGUCGGACUGGGUGUCUUGCCUUCGCCUCGUCGGAGCCCGGCAAGAUAUGGGUUGCUUCAUCGGAGAAAGACAUGUCGGUGA
Molecule: ribosomal RNA, 237 nt
Filed under: Triticum aestivum (bread wheat)
Lineage: Eukaryota; Viridiplantae; Streptophyta; Magnoliopsida; Poales; Poaceae
Description: partial small subunit ribosomal RNA
Source: RNAcentral